CCGAGCUCGCCACUCCUCGGAGUCCGGUGACUUCUCGGCCGGGAGAGACACAAUCGGAUGCGGAGAACUCAUUUGUUCAGUAGAUCUGGCUUCGUGCUGAGCAAUGUUGGAGCCCUGAAGAUUUGAAACUUCUAGUCUGAGGAAGGGGGACAGAGCUGGAUACUCCAAGUCCCCCCACGGUCAGAGCUGUGGCUGGAGGAACAAGACCCAGGAGGUUGACCGAAUGGCAGAUGAGGAGUCAGGACCUUACCCCCAGAGAAAGCAGUCCAUGGGCCGCAGACAGCAGAGAGGAGACAUUCGUCUGCCUUUUUCCUACAGAGUCAGGACUAUUUCCUUAUCCAGCGCCAACAACAGCCAGGGCUGUGACACGGGAAAGGACCCCACUGUGUAUCAGUCAGGACUCGCUGAACAGGCGGUGGUCCAGUCCCGCUGAGGAAUGUCACCCAGCCAGCGUCUGAACACCUAUAACAUAUAAGGGCACUAGGAGAAAGGUUAUAGCGUGAAGGGAGAUUUCAGGUUGAUGUUUGCAGCAAGAGAGAAUACGCUCACAAAAGCAAGAUCCGACCUCGUAUCUUUUAUAGGCAUUUGCACGUGUGCGUGUGUGUGCAUAUGAUCAGCUUUGCAUGGUGUCCCACAAAAUUCAGAGGAGGAAGUCCUAACCCCCAGGAUCUCAGAAUAUGACCUUAUUUGGGAACAGGGUGGUUGCAGAUGCAAUGAGUUGAGUCACACUGGAGUAGGCUGGGCCCCAGUAAGAGUAUGACUGGUGUCUUACGCAAAGCGGAAAUUUGGACCCAGACUCGUGCACAGGGAGAACGUCAUGUGAUGACAGAGGCAGAGGUGAGACGAUGAUUCUACAAGCCGAGGAAUGCCAACGAUUGCCAGGAAACCACCAGCAGCUGGGAGACAACACGGAACAACUUCUCUCCUACAGCUCUCGGUAGGAACCGAUCCUGAUCAAGUCCUGAUCUUGGAAUUCCAGCUCCCUGAACUGUGAGACAAUAAAUUUCGUUUGUAUUUUUAA
Pteropus alecto (black flying fox) is the source of this 1021-nucleotide long non-coding RNA. RefSeq lists it as uncharacterized. The transcript is spliced from 3 exons. The record is from RefSeq and is a predicted model, not a curated record. Lineage: Eukaryota; Metazoa; Chordata; Mammalia; Chiroptera; Pteropodidae.